GUGGUUGUGGCUCCGUGGUAGAGCACUUGCCUAGCAUGUAUGAAGCACUGGGUUUAAUUCUCAGCAUCACA
Molecule: non-coding RNA, 71 nt
Organism: Ictidomys tridecemlineatus (thirteen-lined ground squirrel)
Lineage: Eukaryota; Metazoa; Chordata; Mammalia; Rodentia; Sciuridae
Source: Rfam